This 492-nucleotide ribosomal RNA is filed under the name uncultured bacterium. RNAcentral's name for it is "partial 16S ribosomal RNA". It matches the Rfam family "Bacterial small subunit ribosomal RNA", at positions 28 to 507 of the family's 1533-position model. The record is from RNAcentral.
GAUGAACGCUGGCGGCGGGCCUAAUACAUGCAAGUCGAGCGACCAGACAGUGAGCUUGUGCUCUUACGGUUGGCGAGUGGCGGGUGGGUAACGCGUGCAUAACCAACUACUAUUACGGGGGUGAUUACGGAAAACCGGUUACACUACCGGCGCAUAUGAUGAACGGGAGGGAGCAAUGGAGAAAGGGGGUUUGCGCGACACUAAGAGACGAUGUCGCAUUAGCUAGUUGGCGAGGUAACGGAACACCAAGGCGACGAUCCGUAGCUGGUCUGAGAGGAUGAUCAGCCACACUGGAACUGAGACACGGUCCAGACUCCUACGGGAGGCAGCAGUGGGGAAUAUUCCACAAUGGGCGCAAGCCUGAUGCAGCCAUGCCGCGUGAGUGAUGAAGGUCUUCGGAUUGUAAAGCUCUUUUAUUAGGAAAGAACAACUGCGGAUGAAUCCCCGCCUGUUUUGACGGUACCCAAUGAGUAAGCACCGGCUAACUACGUG